This 221-nucleotide non-coding RNA is filed under the name Thermosinus carboxydivorans. Its description in RNAcentral is "T-box sequence". It matches the Rfam family "T-box leader". Rfam says of the family: Uncharged tRNA acts as the effector for transcription antitermination of genes in the T-box leader family. T-boxes are found upstream of many aminoacyl-tRNA synthetase genes and some amino acid biosynthetic genes usually in Gram-positive bacteria. Lineage: Bacteria; Bacillati; Bacillota; Negativicutes; Selenomonadales; Sporomusaceae. The record is from RNAcentral.
GUUACGGCAAUGAUGGAGAGAGUAACUUUAAGACCGUUCCCAGCGAGCCGGGGAGGGUGUGAGCCCGGUGAACGCUCUUUUAGUGAAAAUCACUCCUGAGCUGCGGACCGAACCAUACUGUAGGCUCCGCCGUGUGACGAGCGUUAUUUCGUCAGUGAGCGGCUGCCCAAUCGGGUGGUCAUUAGGGUGGUACCACGGGAAUUCGACCUCUCGUCCCUUGC